GCGGUCCAAAGAUGCGGUUCACAGUGAGAAUAAGAUCUUGAGUGCGAUCCAACGGCUAAGAUUCAAUCCAACCCAGAUCCGAUGGUUCAGACUCGUUGCCGACUUUGAAUAGGACUCUUUUGCGCAAUCCGACGGUCCAGAAGCAAUCCAUCAUGCGAUCCAAUGGCUAUUAUCAUUUUCGACUGUGUUAAGGAUUCUUUUGCAUGAUCUGAUGACCAGAACUUCAUCAGAAUCCA
RNAcentral lists this long non-coding RNA (236 nucleotides) under Elaeis guineensis (African oil palm). RNAcentral describes it as "long non-coding RNA (EGUI_LNC075417)". Lineage: Eukaryota; Viridiplantae; Streptophyta; Magnoliopsida; Arecales; Arecaceae. The record is from RNAcentral.